AGGUGAGCAAGGUGCGUGAUGAAUUUGCUUUCGAAAAGCUAACAGUACACACACAAAAGUACCUGCCUGCUAAUGGCAUGUUUUUAAUGCCAGAGGCUUUUCCCAUCACUGAUAGGUCUGUGAUGAGACUGAGGAUAUUUCUACAAGUAAUUUUAAUCAAAUCCACCAAUAAAUGUUUCUCAUUUUUUUCCACCAAGAUGAUUAAACCCUGCCCCCCACACACACAUACGUUGUGGUUGUUUAUUUUUGUUUGCAGUAACCAAGAAGAUUAUUUUUGCUGUUAAACUUCCAGAGGCUUUUAGGCCUAAGAUUGAAUGGACAAUGGAGGAUUUUAAAAGUGAUUUCCAAAAGAGCUUUCCUGCUCUCUUUUAAUUAACUUGUUGAACAGCUAGAAAUUGGAAACAUUUUUCCCUUAUAAGAAUGAAAAUAUUUUGGAGAACAUUUAGGUGGAUUUCUAAUGAAUUUAUGGGAAUUAUGUGGUUUAAAAAUGUCUGCAUUCAUUUUCCUCAUUCUCAGUGAAAGGUGGAUUUUUUUUUUUUCUUCUAGUUUCAUCAUAGACCAGGAACCCCCAUGGUAAAAACUUUCUCCACCAAAUGGUUACAUAUCCAGUGUGCUUUAUGUAGAUUAAAAAUUGAGCUAGCAAAACAAACACAUUUUUAAAUGGAAAACUGUUUUUGCCUCUCAGGACAGUGUUGGCUUUCAGUGAGAACUAUCCUGCCUUUCUUUACCUCAAACCAGAACUGGGGUAAAGCAAAUCCUUCAGGCGUGCCUUCCAGGGCAGCAGCAAUCACUUCCUCCAGAUACUGAGUUCUGGGACCUUACCCUGACAUGUUCUGGAUUUGAACAUCCCCAAGUCUGGAGGCUGCCCGCUGCCUGGUGUGGGCUUAUCUCUGCAGGAGGCGAGCUGAAGUGCUCCGUGCCAUUGCCAUGCCUUUUAAAUUUUCAGGAGUGGAGGAUCCAUGUGGCCACGCCAGCAGCAGUGUGUGCAGUGAGAUGUAUUGCUGUGGGUGCAGUGUGGUGCGGCGCUGGGACCUCGCCUAACUCAUCUCCUGGCAUUGUGGAAGUGGGAGAAGAUGGAUGUGCUGCUCCCUCGCCUCUUCCCUCCGCGUUUUGUUUGUUGUUCAGAAGACAUAUGGGCAGCCAUGUACACAAACACACACAGAUCUCUCCCUGAAGAAUGAUGUCAUGACAGAUUUUUUUGUAUUCAGAGUAAAAUAUUAUAAUGGCACGAUUUCCUUCCUUCAAGCAAGAAAAUGGUUGAGCAGAUCUUCUGUUCUUAUGAAAAGCCUGUGAGUCUAUUACUUUCCUGGGAAUUGGAUUUUUUUUUUUCUUGAAGUGGGCUGCUUUUCUUGCUUUAAAAAAAAAUCACAUUUUGGCUGGCGCACCAUUUUUACCAUGUUUUGUAAUAGAAUGCAUAAAGAACUCUGAAUAUUUUUGCUUUUGAUUUUUAUAUAUAGAAAGCCUUAGAUUGCAUUUUGAAAUACAGCUAUCACUUAAAUUAAAAACAAACAAGCACCCAAACAAAUAAAAAAGCCCUUCAAGCUUUUUAUUUCUAUAAACUUUUCUAUUUACUUGCCCUUUCUGUAGUGCACCUGCAGGGCAUUCUCCUCACCCUGAUGAUCCGCACGGUAAUAGAAGUGUUGUGCUUGAAAAACCACAUCACCCAGCAUUCAGACAUGCACUCCCCUUGUGGUUUGCAAACUGUGUUCUGAUGGCUGGUUUGUUAAUGCUAACAUAAGCCUGGCACAAAAACCUGAUGCAAUCCCUCUACGUCAAAGAGAGUCUGUCCAUUGACUUAUUGGACUUUGACUGGGACAUUUCAAGUACAGAAACAAAGAGACCAAGACAUGAGUCUGGUUGGAAGCCCAGGCAGCCUGUGGUGGGCAGCAGGAGCAGCAGUGGCCAGCCAGGUGUUGGCAGUUGGAUUGGAUGUGGCUGUAACAUGUGGCCAUGGGGGCACUGGAGUGAGGCCUUUCUUUUCACAUUAGGAUUCUUCUCCUAUUUGUUAGACAGAACAAUAUUAACCUUUUGAAUUUAUUUAGAAACUCAUUAGUGCUUUUUCUAUAGUCCGUUCUUUUUCUGAUUAGCUCUCCUCAUUACAAUUCAAAUUUCUUUCUGCUACAUUUACCACAUUGUCCUGCUUUCCCUCAUCUCUAUUGUUGCUUGGCUUAAUUUAUUAAAGCAAUGGAAAAGACGAGGAGGAUCGGCUGACGUAGCACCAUCCCUCAGCCCUGGUGCUCUGGGAGGAGGAGAAGAGAUGAGACCCCCGUGAGCUUGCUGUGGCUGGGAUGGGGGUCCCUUCACACAGACGGGAUGCAGUCUGGUCCCAUGUCCUCGUUUCAUUCACUCCCCAGUUUAAGAGUUUCUAAAUGGAAUUCACUCUGGAAGUUGAUUUUCUGCAUUGCAGCCCAGAGCCAUGCGCAGCGAAUGCCCCAGCACGUCUGGCAACCUGUUUUUAAGAUGCAAGUGUGGAAGCUUCUGUAAUUGCUCCUGUGUUGGUACAACUCCAGUGGAAUAUGAAUUGACAUUUUUGGUCAAUUAUAAGAGACCUAAGCUGAUCCCUGUGCUGAGGACAAGGUGAUGGACGGAUGUUAUGCUUCACAUCUACAUUUAGGCGCUUCACCUCAGAUAAUGCCAUUUUUGUGCUUAUUGUUAUCCGUGUGAUUAAACCUCUGCCACUGUCUGAUUUUGGAGACUGAUGAACAUCAGCCAUUCUUAGAGCCAGCAGAGCCAGAGUUACCUGUGGCUGCAGAGGGGAUUUGGGACAACGCAGCUAAGGAGAGCACAGCGAGCUUAACCUGCUUUCUGGGCUGACACACAGAAUGGCUUCCACUGAAGUGUGUAUAGAAUCAGAGGGUUAUUCCAUACCUGUGGAAUCUAAUUGGACAACCAUCAUGGUGCCUAUGGGAUCUGUUCAGGCCACAUCUAUUAGGAACCUGGCCUGUGCAUCCCAGAAGACAGCAAGAGAUGGAUGGUGCUGGCAUGCGGCCACUUCGGAGAACAGAGCUGGAUCAGCCUGCUGAGGACAGGUGCAGACAAAUGGAACCUGCAGGACAAGCAUGCCAUUACCUUCUUUGCCAAAUUCAUUACAGAGAAGUUGCAAAGUUCCAGUAUGCUGUCCCUGAUCUUUGAGACAAAGCUGUCAGCUGGUUCGUGAAUAAUUCCAGGACACGUUCAGGUAGGGCUGGAGGAAGUGAAGCUUUUGAUGAGGCUGGUACUCUUGGUGCAGCUGAUACCAGGACUGUGUUCUCUUGUGUGGUGGCUUGAUCGACAGGACAGCCUCUAGCUGUGCUAGAUGGGAGCACAAGGCACCCUGGCCAUCCUGCCCUGAACCUUGCAUGUCCUGCAGCCGCAUCCUCAGCCCUUGUGCUCUGAUCCCUGCUGAUUCUUGAAAAACACCAAGUACAAGUGUGUGAGACUCAGCCAAAUCUGAUCUUAAGCUGUUAUUAAAAGCCAGAAAAAUCCAUAGUGUUAUAAAACCUUUUCUCUCAACAGAGAAAUAGAGCAGUCUUUGGAUUACUUGGUGAAAUGCCUGCGUUCAAGAUACAGGAAGCUAUUUUGGCCUUGGCAAAUUGGU
Molecule: long non-coding RNA, 3577 nt
Organism: Tympanuchus pallidicinctus (lesser prairie-chicken)
Lineage: Eukaryota; Metazoa; Chordata; Aves; Galliformes; Phasianidae
Exons: 7
Source: RefSeq, a predicted model, not a curated record